CGUUAGGACACACCUUCCGUCGCGCGGCCGUUGCUGGUUGCUUCGGAAGGUCAAGUGCACAACCGGCUCGCGCAGCUGCACUGCUCCAAAGUAAUGAAUCUGCCGGUGUAACCGAAGCUGACGGAUCUCUGAAGCGAACGGACAAAACACUGUGCACUAUGUUUUUACAGUUGGAAGAAUAAGGGAGUAGUUCAGCUUGUCAUAGCCAGUAUGUCUGCAUGGUUGCAGCAAGACACUGGUCCAGCAAGUUCUGCUGAAUCCAGGAAAUCAGAGCCCAGAGGACAAGAGAAAAAAUGCUCAUGGGCAUCCUAUAUGACCAACUCCCCCACCGUGAUUGUCAUGAUAGGUCUGCCUGCGAGAGGCAAGACAUACAUGUCAAAAAAACUCACACGCUACCUCAACUGGAUAGGAGUUCCCACCAAGGUGUUUAACCUGGGCGUGUACCGGAGGGAGGCGGUCAAAGCAUACAAGUCUUAUGACUUUUUCAGGCAUGACAAUGAGGAAGCCAUGAUGAUACGGAAACAUUGUGCCUUAGUGGCCCUGGAAGAUGUGAAGAUCUACCUGAAUGAGGAAGGCGGACAAAUAGCUGUUUUUGAUGCCACAAACACAACUCGAGAAAGACGAGAUCUCAUAAUAGGCUUUGUGAAGGAGAAUGCAUACAAGGUGUUUUUUGUGGAGUCAGUUUGUGAUGAUCCAGAGGUUAUUGCUGCUAAUAUCCUGGAAGUCAAGGUGUCAAGUCCAGAUUAUCCAGAGACACACCGAGAGAGAGUCAUGGAUGAUUUUCUGAAACGUAUUGAAUGUUAUAAGGUCACUUACCAACCUUUAGACCCUGAUGCUUAUGACAAAGCUCUUUCCUUUAUUAAAGUGAUGAAUGUGGGUCGGCGGUUCCUGGUAAACCGCGUUCAGGACUACAUUCAGAGUAAGAUUGUCUACUACCUCAUGAACAUCCAUGUACACUCGCACUCCAUCUACCUGUGCAGGCACGGAGAGAGUGAGCACAACGUCCAGGGCCGUAUCGGGGGGGAUUCUGAACUCUCCCCCAGAGGAAGACAGUUUGCGAAUGCCCUGCGUGAUUUCGUUGAAGAGCACAAGCUGUCUGACUUGAAGGUCUGGACCAGCCAGUUGAGGAGAACCAUCCUGACAGCUGAAGAGCUGGGAGUUCCCUACGAGCAGUGGAAGAUCCUCAAUGAGAUAGAUGCGGGUGUGUGUGAGGAGAUGACCUAUGAUAUGAUCCAGAACACAUUCCCAGAAGAGUUUGCACUCCGGGAUCAGGACAAGUACCACUACAGAUAUCCAGGAGGAGAGUCGUAUCAGGAUCUGGUUCAGAGACUGGAGCCUGUCAUUAUGGAGCUUGAGAGACAGGGCAAUGUUCUGGUCAUCUGUCAUCAGGCGGUUAUGCGCUGUCUGCUGGCAUAUUUCUUGGACAAGAGCGCAGAUGGCCUUCCCUAUAUAAAAUGUCCCCUUCAUUCUGUCAUGAAGCUCACUCCUGUUGCCUACGGUUGCAAAGUAGAGAUGUUUUACCUGAAUGUGGAGGCCGUGAACACACAUCGAGAUCGACCACUUGCCAAAGUCAGGCGAGACUCCGCCCCUCUGGUUCAGAGGCGGAAUAGUUACACGCCCCUCUCCACACAUGACCAGGUUAAAAGGCCUCGCCUCUACAGUGCUGGCAACCGGCCCCGGCUGCCCCUCACACCCUCCCCUACCACCCUGCACUUCCCCGACAUGCCAGAGGGGGCACUGCUGCUUCAGCCAAACCAAUCUUAUCAUGCGGCAGCCAGUCAUCUGUGAGUAUGUUUAAUGUCACAGGGUUUGAAAAGCUCUUCUACACCUCAGAUCUCAUUAUGCUGUUUGACAUCUCAUAUACACUGUCAUGAAGGCACAUACAGUCUUUCUGUACUUAUAUAUUCACAUUGAAAGCAUUUUUGUGUAUGUGUGGUGUUAUAGCUAACUGUGUAUGUCUUGUGUUGGUUUAAGAUUCUUUGAACGGUUUCCUUUAGAGCUUCCCUUUUUCUGCUAUAGUUAUGAUCUUUUAUUCAUACUGGAAGAUUCAAUCAAACUCAUCACAUGUUCUUCAUCGUGUCAGUUGUGUCUUAAUGGGCUCCUUGUGUGAAGGAAACAGCUUUGACAGCGCAGAUGAAUUUAAUGACUGUUUCCGCUUCUGAGUGAGACAGAGAAGUUUCAAAAUCCUGCAUGUCACAUGCUUUCACAUUUUCCCACUCCACACCCAGCUUACUUUUAUCCAUGACUGGACCAUAUUUCCCAUCAGCCCUCUGCAUGACCUCGUAUGAUUUCAUAUAUCAGUAUCACUCAAAACACUCUUUAAUCCUCUGUUCUGAUAUGCCUUAUUGAAGAAAGAACAAAGAGAUUCUCCCCAUAAACUGAAUGUGAAUGAGAAUUUGGACACAACAUUAGUUGUGCAAAUACAUAUGUGGUUGAAAGAUGAAAAGAGAUUGAUAAAACAGAUUUAGCACAGAUUAAUCAGAGAAACCAGUUUAUAAUAAUUCAUUGGUUUUUAAUAUUAAACAAAAUGGAUAGUAAAUGAAUUGUGCCUAGUGUGAAAGAAGUAUAUUUGUACGUAACGAUAGAACAAAAAAGGAAGAUUAUUUGUCUUGCGCAAGAUUUAUAAUAAAAUGAAUGAUAUUUAUGGGAUAUUGUACAAAAUGCUAGUUAGGUAAACGUUUUGAAGAAAUGUGCAUUAUAAUGACAAAGCUGCAAACGUUUCAGUUAGUAAAUUAGUACAUUUAACAGUUUAGGUCAGUGAUGCUGGCAAAUGUAUUUUUAUAUAUUGAGGUUUUUGCUUACCAUGUAAUCCUAUAUGAAAGUGCACUUUUAGGCUGGAGAAUUCAAACUGGUUAUCCUUGGUUAUGAGUUUGUUCAAACUUAAACAGAAAUUACUGUCUGUUGCUGUUUAUAUGUUACACAUUAUGUAGCCAUAAUGCAGACGCACGUGUGGGAGGGGUUUCCUGGACAAAGGCCAUUGAAUAGAGAUUUAUAAUAAUCAACAGCAUAUCAUUUUGCAUGAAGGUAUUUGAUGCAUAACAUGUCUAUUAACUUUCUGUUUAAUUUUAGGUUAAAUUGUUUUAGGUCAAAUAACUGUUCACACAAUUUUUAUUACAAUCAAUGUUUAAUCAAAUCUUUGCCUCUUGUUCCUUUUAAAUGGUCCUGCAAUGUGACAAAUGCAAGUACAACUCCAUGUUUUCUCACAAUUAAUAUGAGGUCGAAUCUGCAUGCAUAAUUAUAAAAGAAUGUAGGAAAUAGGUUUAGAUGGAGUAGGCAUGUCACAUGCUAGACAUCUCAACUUUCCUGAAAAGAUUUUCAUGUCAAUUCAACAUAAUCCAGAUGUCCAGGAUUUCACUUCAAAGUGUGGAUGACUCAAACUAAUGGAAAUCAAUGUGCAUUUAUUCAGAUAUCUAAGCAUGCAUUGCACUUAUGUGAUCAAAUGUGAGUUUUAUCUGUUACAAAUGACAAAUUAUUUUACAGUGGUGCCACAGAAUGUAAGUUAGGAAAUAAUUGAGGAAAGAUGCCUGUAAUAUUUUUACUAUGGUGGUUGCUCUGAGUACAUACAAUAAUAAAAAUAUAUUAUAUAAU
Molecule: RNA transcript, 3588 nt
Organism: Triplophysa rosa
Lineage: Eukaryota; Metazoa; Chordata; Actinopteri; Cypriniformes; Nemacheilidae
Gene: pfkfb2b
Gene name: 6-phosphofructo-2-kinase/fructose-2,6-biphosphatase 2b
Exons: 17
Source: RefSeq, a predicted model, not a curated record